UUAAGCCUGUGCAGCCAUUGCUGUUUGAAUUACAAUGACCAGCAAGGUUGAUCAUAGGAAUCUGACCAUUGCCAAAAGUGGGCAGGAAAGCUAUAUUUACAAAGUCACAGUUUCCCGUGGCACAAGUCUCGGCAAAGGUCCCCUCGUUUCCAUUCUGACCCCAAUAUAUUGCUAUUCCCCCUGUUAGUAUUGAAAGACAAACUACAGAGGAAAGGAAUUGAUAGA
RNAcentral lists this unclassified non-coding RNA (225 nucleotides) under Hevea brasiliensis (rubber tree). The record is from RNAcentral. Lineage: Eukaryota; Viridiplantae; Streptophyta; Magnoliopsida; Malpighiales; Euphorbiaceae.